Molecule: ribosomal RNA, 372 nt
Filed under: Chitinophagaceae bacterium
Lineage: Bacteria; Pseudomonadati; Bacteroidota; Chitinophagia; Chitinophagales; Chitinophagaceae
Description: bacterial SSU rRNA
Rfam family: Bacterial small subunit ribosomal RNA
Source: RNAcentral
ACAAUGGAGAGUUUGAUCCUGGCUCAGGAUGAACGCUAGCGGCAGGCUUAACACAUGCAAGUCGAGGGGCAGCAGGUCUUCGGACGCUGGCGACCGGCAAACGGGUGCGGAACACGUACGCAACAUACCCUUUACUGGGGGAUAGCCCGGAGAAAUUCGGAUUAAGACCCCAUAGUAUGCGAGGAAGGCAUCUUCUUUUCAUUAAAAAUUUAUUGGUAAAGGAUUGGCGUGCGUCCCAUUAGAUAGUUGGCGGGGUAACGGCCCACCAAGUCGGCGAUGGGUAGCUGGUGUGAGAGCACGACCAGCCACACGGGCACUGAGACACGGGCCCGACUCCUACGGGAGGCAGCAGUGAGGAAUAUUGGUCAAUGG